RNAcentral lists this ribosomal RNA (1152 nucleotides) under uncultured organism. Its description in RNAcentral is "bacterial SSU rRNA". It matches the Rfam family "Bacterial small subunit ribosomal RNA", at positions 305 to 1485 of the family's 1533-position model. The record is from RNAcentral.
CCCCCACACUGGCACUGAGACACGGGCCAGACUUCUACGGAAGGCAGCAGUGAGGAAUAUUGCGCAAUGGGCGAAAGCCAGACGCAGCAACGCCGCGUGGGUUGAUGAAGGCCUUCGGGUCGUAAAACCCUUUUGUGGGGGAAGAGUAAGGACGGUACCCCAAGAAUAAGCGUCGGCUAACUACGUGCCAGCAGCCGCGGUAAAACGUAGGACGCGAGCGUUAUCCGGAUUUACUGGGCGUAAAGAGCGUUGAGGCGGUUCCGUAAGUUGGACGUGAAAGCUCCCGGCUCAACUGGGAGAGGCCGUUCAAUACUGCGGGACUUGAGGACAGCAGAGGGGGGUGGAAUUCCCGGUGUAGUGGUGAAAUGCGUAGAUAUCGGGAGGAACACCAGUGGCGAAGGCGGCCCCCUGGGCUGAUCCUGACGCUGGAGGCGAAAGCUAGGGGAGCGAACGGGAUUAGAAACCCCGGUAGUCCUAGCCGUAAACGAUGGAUACUAGGUGUGGGAGGCGAAAAAACCUUCCGUGCCGUAGCUAACGCGCUAAGUAUCCCGCCUGGGGACUACGGCCGCAAGGCUAAAACUCAAAGGAAUUGACGGGAGCCCGCACAAGCAGCGGAGCGUGUGGUUUAAUUCGAUGCUACGCGAAGAACCUUACCAGGGUUUGACAUGCAAGUAGUAGUGAAGCGAAAGCGGAACGACCCUUCGGGGAGCUUGCACAGGUGCUGCAUGGCUGUCGUCAGCUCGUGCCGUGAGGUGUUAGGUUAAGUCCUGUAACGAGCGCAACCCCUACUGUCAGUUACAUGUGUCUGGCGGGACUGCCCGGCUCAACCGGGAGGAAGGUGGGGAUGACGUCAAGUCAGCAUGGCCUUUAUGUCCUGGGCUACACACACGCUACAAUGGCCGGUACAAUGGGUAGCCAAGCCGCGAGGCGGAGCCAAUCCUCCAAAGCCGGUCUCAGUUCGAAUUGUAGGCUGCAACUCGCCUACAUGAAGCUGGAGUUGCUAGUAACCGCAGGUCAGCCACACUGCGGUGAAUACGUUCCCGGGCUUUGUACACACCGCCCGUCACGUCAUGGGAGUCGGCAACACCUGAAGCCGGUGGGCCAACCGAAAGGAGGCAGCCGUCGAAGGUGGGGCUGGUGACUGGGACGAAG